ACACCCUCAAGCUCUGCUUGGUGUUGGGCGUCUGUCCCGCCGCUUGUCGGCGUGAGGACUCGCCUCAAAGGUAUUGGCAGCGGCCUAUGCCAGCCUCUCGCGCAGCGAAGAUUGCGUCGAACGAGGCGUGGCGCCGGGCUCGCGUCCACGAAGCUUACCACG
RNAcentral lists this unclassified non-coding RNA (162 nucleotides) under uncultured Alternaria. RNAcentral describes it as "sequence contains ITS2". Lineage: Eukaryota; Fungi; Ascomycota; Dothideomycetes; Pleosporales; Pleosporaceae. The record is from RNAcentral.